UCGAGAAUCUUCGGCAAUGGGCGAAAGCCUGACCGAGCGACGCCGCGUGCGGGAUGAAGGCCCUCGGGUUGUAAACCGCUGUCGUUGGGGAGGAAAUGCAAAAGGGUUAUCCCUUCUGUUUGACCGAUCCAAGGAGGAAGUACGGGCUAAGUUCGUGCCAGCAGCCGCGGUAAGACGAACCGUACGAACGUUAUUCGGAAUUACUGGGCUUAAAGGGUGCGUAGGCUGCACGGAAAGUUGGGUGUGAAAGCCCUCAGCUCAACUGAGGAAUUGCAUCCAAAACUGCCGUGCUUAAGGGAGACAGAGGUGAGCGGAACUCAAGGUGGAGCGGUGAAAUGCGUUGAUAUCUU
This 350-nucleotide ribosomal RNA is filed under the name uncultured bacterium. RNAcentral's name for it is "bacterial SSU rRNA". It matches the Rfam family "Bacterial small subunit ribosomal RNA", at positions 355 to 700 of the family's 1533-position model. The record is from RNAcentral.